AUGGGAGGGAACGUUGGUCCAGGUAACGGAGUGAGGAGCCGUCGUAUAGGAUUGAAUGUAAUGGGGCUGGGGGGGUUGUUGGGGCUGGUUGUGGGGCUGGGGGUGGUGUGGGGUUGGGGCUGGUUGUGGGGUUGGAGGUUGUUAUGGGGCUGGAGGUGGUUAUGGGGUUGGGCGGUUAGGUUAUGGGGUUGGUUAUGGGGUCAGACAUUGGAUGGGAUGGGGGUCAGUUGUUGGGGCUUGUGUUGUGGGCAGAUGGUAUUUGGGGUGGGUGGUGGUUGGGGCUGGUUGUGGG
This 292-nucleotide long non-coding RNA is filed under the name Coturnix japonica (Japanese quail). Its description in RNAcentral is "lncRNA (ENSCJPG00005000170.1)". The record is from RNAcentral. Lineage: Eukaryota; Metazoa; Chordata; Aves; Galliformes; Phasianidae.